This is a long non-coding RNA of Ailuropoda melanoleuca (giant panda), 5911 nucleotides long. RefSeq lists it as uncharacterized. The transcript has 2 exons. NCBI's taxonomy places the organism in Eukaryota, Metazoa, Chordata, Mammalia, Carnivora, Ursidae. The record is from RefSeq and is a predicted model, not a curated record.
UCCUCUAGAUGCAUGAAGGGGAGCCCGGCUCAGUAUUUCAGGAGUUAGCGUCUUCUAACUGGGCUGGAUUUCUCAUCUCCAUAGGAUCUGCCUGAAGUGGACAUACAGUGUUUUCCAGGAAAAGACUUUCUCUACAAUUCAAGUCCAAACCAUUAUUAGCUAUUAUGCUCCCUCUCAAUCAAAUGCAAAUAAAACUUCUUCUUGGUGAAGUAAAAGAGGAAGAUAUUAUUUUCAGGAAUAUUUAUUUGUAUAGUUUCAUAUUUACAUGCAAUAGGCUUAGGUAUAAUUUCUGUGCUAUUCCCUUCAAUGGUGAAUGCCCUUUUAAAAUCUGAAAAUCAAAUGAACAUAAAUCUUUAAGUACAGGGGAAAGCAUUGGGCUUCUCAAUGACCCUUCUACCCUCCUUGUACCAUUAAUUAUAACAGGAUUAGAGUAAUGAGGGAUUGCUUAGUAAAACAUGAAGAGAACAUGUAUUUUUUUUUUAAAUACAGGAAUAACGGAUGUAAGGAGCAGCCACUACCCUUAGCGCUGAGAGUACCCAAAGAAGAGCCCACCUCCCCCACCCAGGACUCUGAAGAGGGCACGUGGAUGGUUCACUGGAUGGCAGAGAAGUCACUGGGCUACUGCAAAGGUGGGGCUUACUGGAAAUCCGCCCUUGAAUACUUGCCAGAAAUCCUCCCUGUAGGUGCUAGCGAAAGCCACUCACAGAAAGGGGUCUGGUGGAAGGGACUCAGCCAUGAAUCGGCUUGAGCUCCUGGUGAGGUGCAGGUGAAACUACGAGCUGCUGGGUGCUGCUGAUCUUCACACACUACAGGGGUCAAGUGCUAGAGAGCUGGCUGGUGAUGCAGGAGCCAAGAGCUAGGGAAGCUGCCCAUGCUCCACGCAUUAGGUGCCAGAGAAACUGGGGACCCGCAAAGACCUGCUGAGAAGAGCGCACUAGAACCAAAGAGAAGCCACGUCAUCCUCUAGCGCCCUCUACUGUCAGAGUUUUGUGUUGAGCCAGCUGGCAAAAGAAAACUAUUAGAAGAUUGAACUCUCACAUUGCAGCGCAGGCGGUGAAAGAUGUGCUUGGAGCUGAGAGGCAAAUAAACUGGUACAAAAAUAACUAAAACUAUACAUGGAAGACAAGAGUUAGUGAAUGAAGAUAUGAAGGCAAGCUGCAAGGUUUUGGUGACAACAUUUUGCCCGUUAUGUAUCUCCUCCCCAGAGAUACUGGCUUCAGGGUGCCUUAAACAUACAUGGAAAACACAGCUCAGGAGAAGAAGGCUCAUCCCUUUUCCUUCUUUUAUUAGAAGCGUAAAGACUAAUUUUCUUGUGUCAUGCCCUCCAAGAGAGAGUGGUGCUUGUAAAUAUGGCGAAUGUGUAAAACUGUACAUUUUUAUAAGUGGUUUUAAACCUGAUUUAAAAAAAUUGUUGGGAAACAUAACAAAAUUAGUUCCAAGAUGUUCAUUUGAGUGUUGUCUAUGUAACGACCUCAAUAGUCAUUCUUGUAAAUUUCUGUAAGGAAUUACAGUUUAUUAAUUCACUGGAAUAUUUAUUAUUCCAUAAAAAUGUUGAUGUAAGUCUGUAUUCCUGACAUGGAAAUAUAUUUAGAGAUAUUAAUUAGUGAGGGAGAAGCAGGUUAUAUAACAAAUAUAUAAUGUCACUGCAUUUUUGUUCGGGUGAUAAAUACACAUGCACAGAGUCUGGAAGGACAAAAGUCAAAAUAUUAACAGUGAUCCUUUCUAUAUGAUGGGAUUAAUGAGAUUUUUAAUUUCUUCUGUUUGUUUAUUUCUAUCUUUGAACUUAUCUACAAUGAAAAUAUAUAUUAAUUUGAUAAAAUAAUUUCUUAAAACAACUCACUGACUGCAUAAUAUGAUUAAUUUCACUUUCUAUCACUGAAAUAUUGUUAACAUUUUCUAGCUUUCAGAUAAUGGAGGAAGAGCUAGCAGUAAAAAAAAAAUCCCCACAGAGAAACAAACUUUGAGAUUCCCUGUGUUUUAUUUUCAACUAGAAUCUUAAAGAAGUCCAAAAGAACAGGUAGAGAAAAUCCAGAACCUGUUGUUGAGGCGGCCUGAUGAAGACUUGCCGCAGAACAAAGGGAGAGGGUAGGUGACUGACCUGCCCUUUGCAGAGGCUGUGCAGCGGUCUCCAGGGACUGCCUUCCUGCCAGUAGAUCUGAAUUUCAUUUAGGACAAGCUGAAAAUCCAUAAGAAAGUCCAGGAUCCACAUUUAAACCCAUGUCUCCCACAGUCUGUUCUGCAGACUCUAGUUCCAUGGUAUAUUAGCAGUUGAUAAAACAAGAAAAAUGUUCCAUAUGCUCAAACAGUUUGGGGAAGCCUUUAAAUGAAAUGUUGACAAAUUUAUUUGCAGGAGCUCAUGCACAGAGCCUGGAAUGCGAAGCUGUGCUUGGUGAUCUCCUAAAGAGGUAUCAUGUUCACACGUCUCUAACUAGUGUCCUCUGAGAUCCCUUGUGGAAAACAAAAGUGUCCUGUGGUCAAUAAAGUAGAGAAAUGUGUGUCAAUGGGCUAGAUACCUUCUCAUCUUUGUGUAUCUUUCUUCUUCACUUCCUGUAUUCAAUCCUCUAGCAUUUAUUUGUUUCUCCCUUCACAAUCUUUUUCAAAUGUGUCCAUUUAAAAUCAUAUACUAACGUUGAGCUUCUAUUAAAUACUGGGCAUUUAAAGAACUUUAUAAUUUAGUUUUAAAAACAAUUAUGUAUGCUAAUUUCACCUCCGUUUUCUAAGUAGAGAAACUGAGGUGUAGAAAGAUUGGGUCAAGGGGCUCAUAAGUGACUGAGCUUUGAUUCAUCCUUGAAGUACCUGCUUUCCCCAGGAGCACAUUUCAAUUCUACUUCAAGGACCUUUCUUGUUUUCCCAUGGACAACAGCAACAGUUUGUCUUCCUGCCCUCCAGUCUCUUUUAAUCCACCCAGCUCUGUUUUGUCCCUGCUGCCAGGCUAAUUUCUCUUACACGCAUGUAUCCCAAAGAUCAAGGGCCGCAAACGCUUGUGAUUGAAUCUGGCGGGGGAGGGAGCUGUGAGUUUCCAGUGACUUCAUAGAACUUCACCUGUGGGAAAAAUUUUUCUCCUGCUGUUAAAACUUUCAAAGAAAAAGAAAGUUGAUAAAUUAUCAGAAAGGUGAGACAGUUCUCACUUUCAAGACUGUUUGAAUAUGAGGCAGGUGGAAUCUAGAGAGGAGCCGGAGAUGGAGAAGGGAUGAGCUAAUGGUUUGGCUCUUGCCUGAUGUCCCGCCCCCUGCCAUUGCCUCCUACACACCAAGAAGAGGUGGGUCUAUCUCCAUCGCACAGGAGACCAGGUCUGGAAAAUCUACCAACAAUCCAUGAUGGAAACUGGAAAAGGAAACUGAUGUUUUGAUUAAGCGAAUAUUUGAAAUUAUUUCAUUCCAAAAGAAAAUAUCCCAAUUAAAGUGCCAAGCAUUCAGUAUUCACAAACAGAAAACAGAUGCAACAUGUGUUCAGUUUGAAAGUGACUUGGGAAUAACUCUCCCGAAACUGAAUGUGGACAUAUUUAAACAAUAUAAUUCAUAACAGAGCUCUAGAGGGGUUUCUAAGAGGAGACAAAGGAGUACUAUAGACACACAUUUAGCUAUCCCUAGAGUAUGGGCAUGUACCAAAUGUAAUAAAUAUAUGUCUGCUAUUUAGCUCUGCAAUUUCCACAUGCUUUUUAAGUGACUGCAUUACUGAUUACAUAAGACACUAAAAUCUUUUUUAGGAAUAUAUAUAGUGGUAAUGUUUUUAGAACCAAAUUAUAAAAAUAAUUAACCAGUGGAAAAAUUUUUUUUCUACUUCUCAAAUUCAAUACUUUCCUAAAAAAAUUUUCUGCUUCCUGAUUUGGAAAAUGAACUUGGAGCCAAGAUUUACUUUCUCUUAGAAAGGAAACUUCAAUAAAGUUUUGUCAUUCUUUGAUCCUUUUAGAAAAAUGAGGCUUAUUAGUCUUCAGAAAACAAAAUUCUCUGAUAAUUUCUUGCAUUCCUUUUGCAUAAACGUAGAACUGUUUUUGGAGGGCAAAAUAAUAUCGCAGUUAAAAAUAAUUGCUAUCAGGAUUGCUAAAUUUUAGUCCAUCUCCCAUCCAAGUGAAUAAAAAAUUUUAGCAGGUGCAUAAAAUGCUUCCGUGUAUUUCUAACGAGAAAGUUGAUGGUGGAUACCAAGUUGUAAUGUUUUGCAGUUAAUACUGUCAUCAGUAUUUUGUAUGUAUUUUUUUUUGUUUUUCUUUGUUUAACAAAUGAGAUUUCUCACAUUUUUUAAUGUGUUGUUUUAGCAACAGUUCUCACAUUCAAAAUAAAUUUACAAAGAAUCUACUCAGCAAAUAUGUACUGAGUGCUCACUAUGUACAAAACAUUAUACUGUGUUAUGAACUUUCUAUUUGAAUUAAACAUAUGUAUUGGUUAGCUUAUGUGUUAAUUUCAUAGACUGUUGGUUAAAAGCAAAUUUUCAAUUUGCUUUUCUUUAUUCCAGUUCCUCACUAACCUACUCUACAAUUGAUUCUGUUUCUGUAUAGUCCUGAUUAAUAAAAAGAGUGGGUUUAAUAUGGUGUAUUAUAUCCAAUGAAAUUCAAAAUUAUUAAUCCUAUUAAAAUUGUGGAAUAAGAUUAAACAUUAAAUAAAAUUGGAAAUAUAUAGAUAUGGUAUAUGAUUUAAGAUCAUAUAAACAUAUAUGAACAUCUAAGAUAUGAUAGAUUACAUUAUUUGCCCCAAUUCCCUGCACCCCCCUUUUCCACCACCGUAUCCAUACUGUGUCAUGCAACUUUGCAAUGCUCUCCCACAGUAGAUAUUUUUCUUAUUGACAAUAAUUUACAUUGUGUUUGAUCUCUACCUUUGGCUUAGUCACGUGAAUUGCCUUGGCCAAUAGAAUGAGGCAGAAAUGAUAGUGUGUUAGCUCCAGAAUUAAGUCUUAAGGGAUUUUGCAUAUUUCUACUUUCUCUCCUGUAUUCCUGCCAUCCAUGAAAAAGAUGGGCUAGCCAGUUGCUGGAAAAAAGAAUUUAGACAUGUGGAGGUGAGUUGCCCGCACUAAAGCAACCUAGCCAAACUCGGCCUAGAGCAGAGCUCCCAGCCAACCAAUAGCUGGAGCCCAGCUCCUAUUGGCUAUAUUAGUUUGCCAGGGCUGCCAUAAAUGAAUACCACAGACUAUGGGGCUUAAACAAGAGCAAUUUAUUGUUUCACAGUUCUGGAGUCUAGAAGUCUGAGAUCAAGAUGGGCUGACAGAUUGGGCUUCUCUUCUUAGCUUGUAGGUUGGCUAUCUUCAUGUUCACGUAACAUUCUGUCUCUAGGCAUGUCUGUGUGCAAAUUUCCUCUUCUUGUAAGGAUAGCAAUCAUACUGGGUGAAGCCCACCAUAAUGACCUAUUUUUAAAUUAAUUACUUCUUUAAAGAGCCUUUCUCCAAAUACAGUCACAUUCUGAGGCACUAGGGGUUAGGACUUCAAUAUAUGAAUUUUGAGGGAUGCAAGUCAGCCCAUAACAUCAACCAAACACAACCUAGAUCAGGGAAUCCUCAACUGUCAAACAGAUUCAUGAGCUAUACUAAUAAUAGAUCAGCAUUUUAAGGCAGUGAAUUUUGGUGUGCUUUGUUACAAAACAUUACAACUAGCAUGAAAAAUAUUUUUAAACAAUUAUUGGUGAUGAGAUUGUGAGUAGUUGAAAAAUACUUUUAAGAUUAUUGCUACGUAUUUUUUUAAAUUGGCUGUAUAUGUUUCUGUGUGUAAAGUAAUACUUCUCCAUUGUUAUAAAAACAAAAAAUGUGGUAAUAUAUAAAAUACAAAAACAAGCAUCAGUUGUAAUGUGCCCCCUUUCCCCAUCCGUGGUAGAAAACCGAUGUUAAAUACUUUUUAAUUACUUCCCUAUUUACAAACCCACAUACCAAUACAUAUUUUUACACAAAUAACCAUGCAUAUUUUUAUUAAAAAGGUAUUAUAUUUUACACA